Mangifera indica (mango) is the source of this 881-nucleotide long non-coding RNA. RefSeq lists it as uncharacterized. The record is from RefSeq and is a predicted model, not a curated record. Lineage: Eukaryota; Viridiplantae; Streptophyta; Magnoliopsida; Sapindales; Anacardiaceae. The transcript has 2 exons.
AUUAGGGUUAGGGUUUGUUUUGCGAUUCGCUUUUGACGAUGAAGAAGAUGCCUUACGAGGAUUCGCAUCAGCGGACGAAGAUUGAUUUUGAUGAUCACUGUUAUCACUCAAUGGCUUGUGCGUUCUUGGAUCUAUCCCUUGGCUUAUCAACUUUUUACUCAGUGUAAUUACCGGUUGCCUAGAAGGCGAUGGAGGCGGAGGAUAAGAUCUUCUUCAUCGGGGGCGAUCUGGCCGCGCUUGACGGAGGGGCGGAGGUAGUUCAUCCAUCGGAGACGGCAACUCUUUCCACAUCGGAGGAGGCCAGCACGCUUGGGGAGGGUUCUCCAGCGGCCUUCGCCUUCUUUCUUGAUGUAGUUGGAGAGAAGCUCGUCUUCUUCAGGCGUCCAUGGCCCUCUCUUUAACCCUACCUUGCUGCAACACGGAGUUUUAGUGGUGGUGCUUGUGGUGGAGUUAGCCGCAGCUGCAGCCGCUGAUGCUGAUGCUGACGUGGACGGGUUCCUCAUGUUUAGCCUCUUCGAAGAUUUAGGAUUGGAUCGAUAGAUGGAUCUUGACCUGGAGUGGAGUUUGAGUUUCAGUUGCGUAGUGUUUGAGGGGAUGAUGGAAUCUGAUUGGUGGCUUUAUCUUUUUCUUUUUGUUAAUUUUAUUUGUUUUUAUUUUAUUAAUGUUUUUGUUUCCAUUUUCGACUUCUGCUGCCCUGUGGUAAUGAAUUUGGGACAACCCUUCACGCGUUUUUUGGAGCGUGGCUGAACGCUCUGAUGACGUGGAAUGUGAAAAGUGUGGGGAGAAUUUAUAAGGUAUGUUGACACUUAUCUAAUCUCUUGUAGAGAUUUGGACAUUACCAACGAAAUUACAAGAUUGAAAAAUUAAUAAUUUUUACAUUA